GUGCCAGCCGCCGCGGUAAUUCCAGCUCCAAUAGCGUAUAUUAAAGUUGUUGCAGUUAAAAAGCUCGUAGUUGAAACUUGGGCCUGGCUGGCGGGUCCGCCUCACCGCGUGCACUCGUCCGGCCGGGCCUUCCUUCUGAAGAACCUCAUGCCCUUCACUGGGCGUGCUGGGGAAUCAGGACUUUUACUUUGAAAAAAUUAGAGUGUUCAAAGCAGGCCUUUGCUCGAAUACGUUAGCAUGGAAUAAUAAAAUAGGGCGUGCGUUUCUAUUUUGUUGGUUUCUAGAGACGCCGCAAUGAUUAACAGGAACAGUCGGGGGCAUCAGUAUUCAGUUGUCAGAGGUGAAAUUCUUGGAUUUACUGAAGACUAACUACUGCGAAAGCAUUUGCCAAGGAUGUUUUCAUUAAUCAGUGAACGAAAGUUAGGGGAUCGAAGACGAUCAGAUACCGUCGUAGUCUUAACCGUAAACUAUGCCGACUAGGGAUCGGGCGAUGUUCUUUUUCUGACUCGCUCGGCACCUUACGAGAAAUCAAAGUUUUUGGGUUCUGGGGGGAUCAUGGUCGCAAGGCUGAAACUUAAAGAAAUUGACGGAAGGUCACCACCAGGCGUGGAGCCUGCGGCUUAAUUUGACUCAACACGGGGAAACUCACCAGGUCCAGAUGAAAUAAGGAUUGACAGAUUGAGAGCUCUUUCUUGAUUUUUCAGGUGGUGGUGCAUGGCCGUUCUUAGUUCGUGGGGUGACUUGUCUGCUUAAUUGCGAUAACGAGCGAGACCUUACUCUGCUAAAUAGCCAGGCUAACUUUGGUGGUCGCCGGCUUCUUAGAGAGACUAUCAACUCAAGUUGAUGGGAAGGUUGAAGGCAAUAACCAGGUCUGUGAUGCCCUU
Molecule: ribosomal RNA, 884 nt
Filed under: uncultured fungus
Lineage: Eukaryota; Fungi
Description: SSU rRNA
Rfam family: Eukaryotic small subunit ribosomal RNA
Source: RNAcentral